RNAcentral lists this ribosomal RNA (253 nucleotides) under uncultured prokaryote. RNAcentral's name for it is "partial 16S ribosomal RNA". It matches the Rfam family "Bacterial small subunit ribosomal RNA", at positions 525 to 777 of the family's 1533-position model. The record is from RNAcentral.
ACGGGGGGGGCAAGCGUUGUUCGGAAUUACUGGGCGUAAAGGGCUCGUAGGCGGCCAACUAAGUCGGACGUGAAAUCCCCAGGCUCAACCUGGGAACUGCGUCCGAUACUGGAUGGCUUGAGUUUGGGAGAGGGAUGCGGAAUUCCAGGUGUAGCGGUGAAAUGCGUAGAUAUCUGGAGGAACACCGGUGGCGAAGGCGGCAUCCUGGACCAACACUGACGCUGAGGAGCGAAAGCCAGGGGAGCAAACGGGA